This 3175-nucleotide ribosomal RNA is filed under the name Candidatus Moraniibacteriota bacterium. RNAcentral describes it as "23S ribosomal RNA". It matches the Rfam family "Bacterial large subunit ribosomal RNA". Lineage: Bacteria; Candidatus Moraniibacteriota. The record is from RNAcentral.
AAAAAGGUUUACUCAAAGCACAUAGUGGAUGCCUAGACUGAAGUAAGCGAAGAAGGACGUAGCAGGCUGCGAUAAGCCUCGGGGAACUGUCAAGCAAGUUUUGAUCCGAGGAUUUCCGAAUGGGGCAACCCCUUCGAUCUUGUAUCGAAGAUUAUUAUCUGAAUACAUAGGAUAAUUAAAGCGCACCCUGGGAAUUGAAACAUCUUAGUACCAGGAGGAACAUAAAUCAAUAGAGAUUCCGUCAGUAGUGGCGAGCGAAAGCGGAAUAGCCUAAACCCAAUCUUCGGAUUGGGGGUUGCGAGGUAUUCUUACUCGUUUGAUCGGGUUUGAUUACAUUUUUUUAGUGGAAUAAUUUUGGAAAGAAAAGCCAUAGAGGGUAACAGCCCCGUACACGAAAAAAAGAUGUAGUCAUUGUGAAUAUCCUCAAGUAGGGCGGGACCGGAGAAAUCCCGUUUGAAUCUGGGAGCACUAACUUCCAAGGCUAAAUAUUACUUCAGAUCGAUAGUGAACUAGUACCGUGAGGGAAAGGUGAAAAGCAUCCCGUUAAGGGAGAUGAAAUAGUAUCUGAAACUAUGUGUUAACAAAGAGUCAGAGCCGUAAUUUAUUACGGUGAUGGCGUACUUUUUGCAGAACGGGCCAACGAGUUAGUUUUAUACGGCUUGCAUAAGCUACUUUGUAGAAUAUGCACAGUGAAAGCGAGGCUUAACCGCCGAAUUUGUCGUAUGGACUAGACCCGAAACCGGGCGAGCUACAUAUGAGCAGGGUGAACCCCAAGUAACAUUGGGGGGAGGCCCGAACCCACUGAUCGUGCAAUAUCAGGGGAUGACUUGUGUGUAGAGGAGAAAUUCCAAUCGAGCUCGGAAAUAGCUGGUUCUCUCCGAAAUAGCUUGAGGGCUAGCGUCUGGCAAAUGAGCAUGGGAGGUAGAGCUACUGAAUGAGUAUCCGCGGUUCGCCGUAGGCCACUCAAUCAAACUCCGAAUUCCUAUGUUUCUUAUCCAGGCAGUCAGAAAUCCGGCGCUAAGGUCGGAUCUCAAAAGGGCAACAGCCCAGAUCAUAAUCUAAGGUCCCCAAAUCCAUAUUAAGUGGGAAAGGAAGUGAAAUUUCUCAGACACCUAGUAGGUUGGCUUAGAAGCAGCCAUCCUUUAAAGAGUGCGUAAUAGCUCACUAGCUUAGAGAUUUUGCGCCGAAAAUGUAACGGGGCUAAAUAUGGUACCGAAGAUAUGAACUAUUUAAUCUUUCGAGAUUAGAUAUUGGUAGGAGAGCGUUCCUUGUGCAGCGAAGCCAAAGAUGUGAGUCAUGGUGGAGCGCAGGGAAGUGAGAAUGUUGGCAUGAGUAACCGCAAUGUGAGUGAGAUUCUCACACCCCGAAAGUCUAAGGUUUCCUGGGCAAUGGCAAUCAUCCCAGGGUUAGUCGGUCCUAAGGCGAGGCUGAAAGGCGUAGUCGAUGGACAGCUGGUUAAUAUUCCAGCACUAUAAUAAUAUUCGAUGGAGUGACGUAUUCUUGUAACUUUUGCACCUUAUUGGAUUGGUGUAGGGAUACUGAGGAUGCUAGGCAGGCAAAUCCGUCUAGCAAUAAUCCAAGGUAUUUCUGGACUUCCGUCUUCGGAUGGAAUAACAAAAGUGAGCAGGGUACCAGGAAAAGCUUCUAAGGUUCGUAUUAUUAUAUCCGUACCGUAAACCGACACAGGUAGACAGGGCGAGUAGCCCAAGGGGAAUGGGAGAACCUUCGUUAAGGAACUCGGCAAAAAAUCUAGAUGUAAGUUCGCGAGAUAUCUUCCCAACUCUUUGCUUGCAAAGGGCUGGGCGCAGCUAAAGAAUUCCAAGCGACUGUUUAUCAAAAACACAGGUCUCUGCAAACUCGUAAGAGGAUGUAUAGGGGCUGACGCCUGACCAGUGCUGGAACGUUAACGGGAGCGGUGCAAGCCAAUCCCCGAAGCGCCAGUGAACGUCGGCGAUAACUAUAAUCGUCCUAAGGUAGCGAAAUUCCUUGUCGGGUAAAUUCCGACCCGCAUGAAAGGCGUAACGACUUGGAAACUGUCUCAACGAAGGACCCAGUGAAAUUGCAAUGGGGGUAAAGAUGCCCCCUACCUACGGCAAGACGAAAAGACCCCGUGGAGCUUUACUACAGCUUGGUAUUGAAUUGAGGUUUUAGUUGCCCAGUAUAGGUGGGAGACUUUGAAGUGCUGAUUCUGGUUGGCAUGGAGUCACCAAUGGAAUACCACCCUGCUAUUAUUUCAAUUCUAACCUCGGACCGUUAUUUGGAUUUUUAAGACAUUAAAUUGUCAAACGAAUCAAAAUUUGGAUUCCGAAGAAAGUUGUUAGAGCUCAUUAAAAAUGGUCUUAACGUCAAUAAAAUGCAAACAUAAACUGUUAUUUAUGUGAGUGUUUUUGAGAUGUUUAAGUAUCAUUUGCGGUGGGGGUAUAAAAUUAUUUUUUAUACUAUAACAACUUAUCUUGAAUCUAAAUUUGAUCGUAAGAGUCUAAAUACCGGUCCGGGAACAGUGCCUGGUGGGUAGUUUGACUGGGGCGGUCGCCUCCUAAAUAGCAACGGAGGCGCUUACAAAGGUUGGCUAGGUCCGGAUGGAAAUCGGAUUGAUAGUGCAAAAGCAUAAGCCAGCUUUACUGAAAGACCUAUAAGUCGCUCAGUUACGAAAGUAGAAUUUAGUGAACCGACCAUCACUUGUAGGAGUGUGGAAGAUCAUCAGAUAAAAGUUACCCCGGGGAUAACAGGCUAAUAGUGCCCAAGAGUUCAUAUCGACGGCACUGUUUGGCACCUCGAUGUCGGCUCAUCUCAUCCUGGGGCUGGAGAAGGUCCCAAGGGUUUGGCUGUUCGCCAAUUAAAGAGGUACGCGAGCUGGGUUCAAACCGUCGUGAGACAGGUUGGUCUCUAUCUGCCGUAGGCGUCGUUGCUUGAAAGGAGUCUUUCCUAGUACGAGAGGACCGGAAAGAACAAACCUCUGGUGUAUCGGCUGUUCCGCCAGGAGCACUGUCGAGUAGCUAAGUUUGGAAAGGAUAACCGUUGAAAGCAUCUAAACGGGAAGCCUCCCUUAAGAUAAGGCAACUUUCUAGCUUGCUAGAAAUGAUUUCCUAGAAGAAGACUAGGUUGAUAGGCUUCAGGUAUAAGCCCUGUGAGGGGUUAAGCCAAGAAGUACUAAUAAGUCACAAAACCUUUUUUG